Long non-coding RNA from Neoarius graeffei (lesser salmon catfish), 356 nucleotides. RefSeq lists it as uncharacterized. The record is from RefSeq and is a predicted model, not a curated record. Lineage: Eukaryota; Metazoa; Chordata; Actinopteri; Siluriformes; Ariidae. The transcript has 3 exons.
GAAGUGGAUGGGUAUCUACAAAAUCGGCAGAGGUACACGCUAUGCUCUCGGCAUUUUGAUGAAGAUUGUUUCCUGUCCAUUGCAUCAGGAAAGAGGGUCCAUGUGAAUACUUCAAUUCCCACGAAAUACCUGACACUUGAUUCACCAAGCAACACCAGAGAUGUUUCACCGCCUGACACCCCGUCUCCACUGAUCUCCAUGAGAAACACUGCCAAACCACUGCGAGAUGUUGGAAACAUUUCGCCUGUAACACCAAUACCUCACAUGUCAUCAACCGCCCUAAGGACCAGUUUACUUAUUGACACACCUACCACAAUUCCAUUGUUGAGCUCCCACACUGCAGCACCACACCAAAA